GCGGGCGUGGCGGAAUUGGUAGACGCGCUGGAUUUAGGUUCCAGUAUCGCACGAUGUGGGGGUUCGAGUCCCUUCGCCCGCACCA
This 85-nucleotide transfer RNA is filed under the name Porphyrobacter sp. RNAcentral describes it as "tRNA-Leu". It matches the Rfam family "tRNA". Rfam says of the family: Transfer RNA (tRNA) molecules are approximately 80 nucleotides in length. The record is from RNAcentral. Lineage: Bacteria; Pseudomonadati; Pseudomonadota; Alphaproteobacteria; Sphingomonadales; Erythrobacteraceae.